UUUUUUCAGGGCAGGGUGCAAGUCCCUACCGGCGGUAUAGCCCGCGAGCCGAAAGGUACGAUCCGGUGAGAUUCCGGAGCCGACAGUACAGUCUGGACGAAAGAAAA
RNAcentral lists this non-coding RNA (107 nucleotides) under chicken gut metagenome. RNAcentral describes it as "FMN riboswitch (RFN element)". It matches the Rfam family "FMN riboswitch aptamer (RFN element)". From Rfam's summary of the family: The RFN element is a highly conserved domain that is found frequently in the 5'-untranslated regions of prokaryotic mRNAs that encode for flavin mononucleotide (FMN) biosynthesis and transport proteins. This element is a metabolite-dependent riboswitch that directly binds FMN in the absence of proteins. The record is from RNAcentral.